UACAGAGGUGGCAAGCGUUGUUCGGAAUUACUGGGCGUAAAGCGCGCGUAGGCGGUUUUGCAAGCCAGAGGUGAAAUGCCUGAGCUCAACUUAGGAAUUGCCUUUGGGACUGCGAGGCUUUGAGGACUGGAGAGGUGAGUGGAAUUCCCAGUGUAGAGGUGAAAUUCGUAGAUAUUGGGAAGAACACCGGUGGCGAAGGCGGCUCACUGGCCAGUUUCUGACGCUGCAGCGCGAAAGCGUGGGGAUCAAACAGG
Molecule: ribosomal RNA, 254 nt
Filed under: uncultured bacterium
Lineage: Bacteria
Description: partial 16S ribosomal RNA
Rfam family: Bacterial small subunit ribosomal RNA
Source: RNAcentral